This 8267-nucleotide long non-coding RNA is filed under the name Solanum lycopersicum (tomato). RNAcentral describes it as "long non-coding RNA (SLYC_LNC000192)". Lineage: Eukaryota; Viridiplantae; Streptophyta; Magnoliopsida; Solanales; Solanaceae. The record is from RNAcentral.
UCUUGAUAAAACGUUAAUCUUUGGUAAUACUCCUUGCUAGUUCCCGUUGAUUGUUAUAUUGAGUUAUAACAAAUGAUUUUAAUUGCAUAUGGUUGCUCAUAAUAUUCUGCUCGUGCAUAGAGUCAUUUAUCAUUUCACCGAGUCUCGGGCCGGGUAAUGUUCGUGCGGAGUUUCUUGCAUAUGUCACCGAGUCCCUCACUAGAGGGCCGGGUAUGUAUAUUAUAUAUAUGAUUGGUGAUGAGGAUGGUUAUGAUGAUGAUGAUGACGGAGAUGACUUGAUGAUUAUUUUGCCGAUUCCCUUACUAGGGAAGCUGGGCACCUUAUAUGUUGAAGAUAUGCAUGAUUUUCACUUAAAAGGGUACAUGUGUAGCGAUAUUUUGUUUCGACUUGCCAUAUUGGUAUCCUGUCAUCUUUACCUUAUGUUUUACAUGCUCAGUACCUUGUCUGUACUAACCCCCCAAUCCUCGGGGGGCUGCAUUUCAUGCCCGCAGGUGUAGACGCACAGUUCAGCGAUCCUCCUGCCUAGGAUUACUCUGCUGAUUGGGAGAGCUCCACUGUUCCGGAGCCUAGUCAUUUUGGUACAUAACUUUUUGUGUAGUCUUUUGCUCGUCUAUGGGUAAGGCGGGGCCCUGUCCUGUCGAGUUUCACUACUAUCCAAAACGGGCACUAGUCACGGCCCAUUGGGUUGGGUCGUGACAAAGAGUGGUAUCAGAGCGGUUCUUCCUCGGAAGUGUCUGCAGACCGUGUCUAGUAGAGUCUUGUUUAUCGGUGUGUUGUGCACCAUAUCUAUAAACAGGAAGCUACAGGACAUUUAGGAUGUCAUCUUUUCUUCUUAUUCUAGAUCGUGCGAUAGAGCUAUAUUAACAGGAUAAUCCCUCUCUAACGAAUCCGUGUGUUUUCAGCUAUGCCUCCAAAGAAAGCGACAGCCGCCUAAAAGGGCAAAUCGGUAGCAGAAGGUACUAGUCAGACCAGGAGAGUUACUAGGGCCCGUGCGCAGUCUAUGCCUGGUAUUAUGCUCCAGUCGAAGAGCUCUGCUACACCGCCACGGCCAGAGGAUCUUAGAGCAGCAGCAACUCCAGUUUGGGGGACACCACCAGCCCCCGAGGCCCCAGCACCUGAACCUCCAGCUCCUCAGUCAGGGGCGGAGGAUAGGGCCUUGAGAGAUGUUGUUCAGUUGCUGACUAGAUUAGUGGAAGGUCAGGCUUGCAGGCAUGGACUAAGAGUUGAUCAUGCGGACAGAUCUGAUAGCUUAAGGACUCGUGACUUCUUAAGUUGUAAUCCUCCAUAGUUGUUUGGCUCAAGGCCCCAGGAUGAUCCGCAAGAGUUUAUUCGUCAGAUGCAGUGUACAUUGAGGAUAAUCAAGGCUUCGGAGACCGAGUCUGUUGAGUUGGCUACGUAUUGUUUGUGGGAUGUAGCUAUUAAUUGGUAUGAGUCUUGGGAGUUAUCUAGGGGUGAGGGUGCUCCUCUAGCAGUAUGGGAUGAAUUUAUGGAGGCUUUCUAGGGCCACUUCCUGCCUCCAGAGAUGAAGCGACCUAGAGUCGAUAAAUUCUUGUGUUUGAAGCAAAAUGGCAGGAGCGUUCGAGAGUAUAGCCUCGAGUUUUAUUCAUUGGCUAGGCAUGCGCCUACUAUUGUGGCUGAUAUGGCAGACAGGGUACAUCGUUAUGUGAUGGAUUGGAUCAUUAUCUGAUUAACGAUUGUAUGACAGUGACUCUUCAGCCAGGUGUGGAUAUUGCUCGGGUGCAGGCAUAUGCACAGGGGGUAGAGGAUCGGCACCGGGGACGUCAGCCAGAUAGAGAUUCUAAUAGAGGCCAACAUAAGAGGGCUAGAUCAGCAGGUUAUCCUGACGAGUUUCGAAGCGGGCAGUCUCAGCAGCAUGUUAGAUUUUCUUCCCAGUCAGCACAGAGUGCACCCCUAUGUUUCAUGGGUAGGGGGUUCAAUCGUAUGGGAUAUUCAGAAGCUGGUCAGAGCUCUAGGGCGUCAGGGUCACAGAUGGGCAGGGGUUUGAGCCAGUCGAGGCCACCUUUGCCUGGGUGUUCUCGCUGUGGUAGGUCCCAUCCUGAGGAAUGUCGUUGGGCUACAGGUGCGUGUUUUUCUUGCGGCCGUCAGGUCCAUACUAUGAGGGAGUGUCACCUUACAGGUAGUGUAGGUGGUAUGGCACAGCCUACUGGGUCCAUUGCUGGUUCAUCUUCUUCUGUGGCUAUGCGCCCUACGGGGCAAGGUAUUCAGGCGCCAGUAGGCCGUGGUAGAGGACGUGGUGGAGCUUCCAGUUCUAGCGGUCCCUCGAACCGUAUAUAUGCUUUGACUAAUAGGCAAGAUCAGGAGGCGUCACCUAAUGUGGUCACAGGUAUAUUAUCACUAUUCUCCCGAAGUGUGUAUGCAUUGAUAGACCCCUUCCACCUUAUCAUAUAUAUCUCCCUUUGUUGCUAGUAGGAUCAGAAUAGAGUCUGAGUUGAUAGAACCAUUUGAGGUAGCUACACCUGUAGGAGAUUUUGUCAUAGCUACGUGAGUAUAUAGGAAUUGUUCAGUAGUUAUAUAUAGUCGUCGUACGGUAGCAGAUCUAAUAGAGUUAAAUAUGAUUGAUUUGAUAUUAUCAUGCGCAUGGAUUGGUUGGCUGCUUGCUAUUCUAAUGUUGAUUGCAGAGGAAAGAUAGUUCGAUUUCAAUUUCCAGGGGAACCGAUUAUAGAGUGGAAGGGGAGUACAGUAUUGCCGAAAGGUAAGUUUAUUUCAUACCUUAAGUCCGGGAAGAUGGUUACAAAAGGCUGUAUUUACCAUUUGAUUCGGGUGCAUGACAUAAAGGCAGAGGCACCGACUCUUCAAUCAAUCCCGGUAGUUAAUGAAUUUCUCUAUGUAUUCCCCGAGGAACUUCCAGGCCUUCCUCCAGAACGAGAGAUAGAGUUUACUAUAGAUGUACUGCCAGAUACCCAGCUUAUAUCUAUACCUCCUUAUAGAAUGACACCUGCUGAGUUGAAAGAAUUGAAAGAGCAAUUGAGGGAUUUGCUAGAAAAUGGCUUCAUCAGGCCUAGUACGUAACCUUGGGGAGCACCGAUACUUUUUGUGAGGAAGAAGGAUGGGUCGCUGCGGAUGUUUAUUGAUUAUAGGCAGCUGAACAAAGUAAAAAUAAAGAAUAGGUAUCCCCUCCCAAGGAUUGACGAUCUAUUUGACCAGUUGCAGGGUGAAAAGUGUUUUUCAAAGAUAGACUUGCGGAUAGGUUAUCAUCAGGUGCGGGUAAGGGAGGCAGAUAUUUCAAAGACGGCAUUCCGGACCCGAUAUGAGCAUUAUGAGUUUAGAGUGUUGUCUUUUGGGCUGACUAAGCUCCAGCGGUGUUUAUGGAUUUAAUGAAUCGAGUAUUUAAACCAUUCCUUGAUAUGUUUGUUAUUGUAUUUAUAGACAAUAUUUUGGUCUAUUCACGUUCAGAAAGGGAGCAUGCAGACCAUUUAAGGACGGUACUUAGGGUGAUUCAGCACCAGAAGUUGUAUGCUAAAUUUUCUAAGUGCGAGUUUUGGUUGAAUUCAGUGGCAUUCUUGGGGCAUAUUAUUAGAGCUGAUGGUAUUCGAGUAGACACGUAGAAGAUUGAGGCGGUAAAGACUUGGCCCAGACCUACGACACCUACUGAGGUACGUAGCUUUCUGGUUAGCAGGAUAUUACAGGAGAUUCGUAGAAAAGUUUGCCUCAAUUUCAGCGCCUUUGACAAGGCUAACUCAAAAGGCAGCCAAGUUCCAGUGGACUGAUGCUUGUGACCGAAGCUUCCAGCUAUUGAAAGACAAAUUGACUACAGCUCCAGUCCUAACUCUUUCGGAGGGAUAAAGACGGCUAUGUUAUUUAUUGUGAUGCUUCGGGUGUUGGUCUAGGAUGUGUAUUGAUGCAGCAUGGCAAAGUUAUAGCCUAUGCCUCCCGACAGUUUAGGAAGCAUGAAAAGAACUAUCCUACUCACGAUCUGGAGUUAGCGGUCGUGGUUCAUGCCUUUAAGAUAUGGAGACAUUAUUUAUAUGGUUUCCAUGUGGACAUCUAUACAGAUCAUAAGAGUCUCCAAUAUAUCUUUAAACAGAAGGAGCUGAACUUACGACAGAGGCGGUGGUUAGAGUUGCUAAAGGAUUAUGAUGUUGAUAUUUUAUAUCAUCUAGGGAAAGCGAAUGUUGUAGCAAAUGCUCUUAGUCGUAAGUCCAUGGGUAGCUUGACAGAUGUACAACCAGAAAGGAGGGAUAUGGUUCAGGAGAUUCAGCGCUAUCCAGCCUUGAAGUCCGUAUGUCUAAUUCAGAAGAUAGUGGAGUUUCUAUUCGAGAGGUUGCUGAGUCCUCAAUCAUUGAUGAGGUAAAGAGACACCAAUACAAGGACCCUAUUCGGGCAUAGUAUAGAGAUGCAGCUCUUCAAAAGGAAAAGACCCCAUUUAAGGUUACACCUGACGAAGUGUUACGAUAUGAAGGCAGAUUGUGUGUACCUGAUAUUGUUGGCUACGACGCCAGGUUAUGGGAGAGGCACACUCUGCCUGUUAUUCUAUUCACCCAGGGUCAAAGAAAAUGUAUCAUGAACUCAGAUGCUUAUAUUGGUGGGAUGGCAUGAAACAUAGCGGAGUUUGUUGCUCAGUGCUUGAAUUGUCAACAAGUCAAGAUCGAACAUCAAAAGCCUGGUGGAUUAUUACAGGAGAUAGAGAUCCCGACUUGGAAAUGGGAGAUGAUUAAUAUGGACUUCAUACAGGCUUACCUCGCACUCAAUGGAAGUAUGACUCUAUAUGGGUUAUUGUAGAUAGGCUGACGAAAUCGCCCAUUUUCUUCCUAUCAGGACUACUUAUUCGGCUGAAGAUUAUGCGAGGUUAUAUGUCAGGGAGAUAGUGAGACUUCAUGGGGUUCCCACGUCCAUUAUAUCAGACAGAGGAGCUCAAUUUACAACCAACUUUUGGAGAUCGUUUCAGAAGGGAUUGGGGCCACAGGUGAACCUUAGCACAACAUUUCACCCUCAGACUAAUGGGCAGGAUGAGCGUACUAUUCAGACAUUAGAAGAUAUGUUGCGGGCCUGUGUUAUUGACUUCAAAGAUAGCUGGGAUGACCACUUGCUGCUCAUUGAGUUUGCCUAUAAUAAUAGCUACCAUUCUAGUAUCCAUAUGGCACCGUACGAGGCCUUAUAUGGGAGGAAGUGCAGAUCACCUAUUGGUUGGUUUGAUGUUGGCGAGACUAAGUUAAUAGGCCCGUAUGUGAUUCAGCAAGCUGUUGACAAGGUGAAGCUUAUUCAAGAAAGAUUAUUAGCAGCCCAGAGUCAACAGAAGUCAUAUGCAGAUAAUCGGCGUCGAGAUUUGGAGUGUCAGAUUGGUGACUGGGUAUUCCUGAAGGUAUCACCCAUGAGGGGUGUUAUAAGAUUUGGCAGGAAGGGGAAGCUUAGUCCGAGAUACAUUGGGCCUUACCAGAUUGUUCGUAGGAUAGGCAAGGUUGCCUAUGAGUUGGAUCUAUCAUCUGAUUUGGAGGCGGUACAUCCAGUCUUCCAUGUAUCGAUGCUACGUAAAUGUAUUGAUGAUCCUUCUAGAGUAUUCCCCAUAGAUGAUGUUCAGGUAACAGAGGAGUUGUCAUAUGAGGAGAAACCCGUAGCUAUACUUGAUCGCCAGGUUAGAAGGUUACGUACUAAGGAUGUGGCUUCCGUCAAAGUGUUGUGGCAAAAUAAUAAUAGGGAGUAGAUGACUUGGGAAGCGGAAGACGAAAUGAAGAAUAAGUAUCCUUACUUGUUCCCCGUACUUGCAGGUAAUUUAAUUCCUAGCUUGACUAUAUUGAUUGAUAAACAAGAUUAUGUAGUAAGUUGUGACUCUGUGAGGCAUCUGUAAGUUACAGAAUGCAGGUUGAUAGGUAUAACUGUUAGAGAGACCUCGCUGGAAUUUGUUUUUGUAACACGCUAACUUAACAUUCGAGGAUGAAUGUUCCUAAGGGGGGAAGGAUGUUAUGCCUCGUAUUUUUUUUAUACGUAGUGCGCGUCAUGAUCUAGUAGACAUAAGUCUGGGGAAUGAGAUUUUAUUUUAAGUUCCAAGCGAUUAAAGAAUAUUAGGCAGUGAUGUUAAUUCCAAAUGUGAUAUUAAGUAUGCUUUGGCUAAUGUAAGUGCCAUUAACUUUAAGUGAGGGAUUAAUUAGUGGCUGAUUAGGAUUAAUUUAAUCCAGUGGGCCCCACCACUCAAUACAAAAAAUUAAAAAGGGAUCAGAUUGGGAGCUGGCCUUCGUAGACACGUGUAGAGGGGGGGCUGCCUCCACUUCAUAUUAUAAAUGAGGUGGAGAAAUCCACUCCAUACUAAAUAAAGUGGUGAAAUUUAUUGCUGCAUAUCAUCUUCUUCACCACUUGGCUUAGGCAGCCAUGGAAAUGGAGAAACCAACCCUACUACUCUUGGCCAGCAGCUGCAAAUAAUCUGGUUAGUAAUCUCCUUGCUUGGUGUGUUAAUUAUUUAAAUACCUUGUUAAUUAUCCAUUAAUAUUAAGAAGGGGGCAUGACCAGUAGCUUAGGAAGUUUGUUUCAGUUAUUGAAUGUGCUAAGUAUGAACGGAAACCAUAAUCGGAUUAUUAGUGGUGUCGUGUUUGUGCUUGGGCUGUUUUGAUUAAAGCAAACUGCGGGAAAAUUCUGUUUUGGCGUCAUGUAUAUGUUAAAUGUGAUUAUGAGUAUAUACUCCAAAGGAUGAAUACGAUAAGGUAGAUGUGUUGCGAAUUAUAAAACAAGUUAUCGCUCGGUGUGUCGUUGCUUCGCUGCUAUGGUUGCCGAGACGAAAUUGUUUUGGGGAGGCGGCUGUUUAAUAUGAUUCGUUGGGUUAUAUGUGUUAUUGGUAUUGCUGUGGAUAAUUUGGGUUGUUGUCGGAUUGGGACGAAGUAAGGAAAAUAGGGGAAGUGCUGCCAGAUUUUCGUUAUAUUAUUAGCUAGCUUACAAGAUAGUUAAGGGCGACGUUUAUCUAAUUGCAGCACGAUUGUUGCUUGUUAUAGAUUAAUAGCUUGAGCAGUAAAUAUUGGACAUGCGGCUCGACUAUACGGUAUGUAACGAUGUCCCUUCUUUCUUUGUUUGGCAUGACUUUCAAAAAUAAGCAAAUAACAAACAGGUUUGAUACUUACCUCUAGAGCGUCUCGGUGACGUAUAUUCUUGCUACCAAGAUUAUUCCUAUAUGUCGGCUAUGUCUAAGGCUAUGAUGAUUUCUCAUAUCUAUGGUAGUGCUUCUUAGAGUCAUUGAGAUUUUACGUUUCCAUAUCGUAUUAAAGGUUCAUAAUCUUGAUAAAACGUUAAUCUUUGGUAAUACUCCUUGCUGGUUCGUGUUGAUUGUUCUAUUGAGUUAUAAGAAAUGAUUUUAAUUGCAUAUGGUUGCUCAUAAUAUUCUGCUCGUGCAUAGAGUCAUUUAUCAUUUCAACGAGUCCCGGGCGGGGUAAUGUUCGUGCGGAGUUUCUUGCAUAUGUCACCGAGUCCCUCACUAGAGGGCCGGGUAUGUAUAUUAUAUAUAUGAUUGGUGAUGAGGAUGGUUAUGAUGAUGAUAAUGACGAAGAUGACGUGAUGAUUAUUUUGCCGAGCCCCUUACUAGGGAAGCUGGGCACCUUAUAUGUUAAAGAUAUGCAUGAUUUUCACUUAAAAGGGUAUAUGUGUAGCGAUAUUUUGUUUCGACUUGCCAUAUUGGUAUCCUGUCAUCUUUACCUUAAGCUUUACAUACUCAGUACAUUGUCUGUACUGACCCCCUUUCCUCGGGGGGCUGCGUUUCAUGCCCGCAGUUGUAGACGCAUAGUUCGGUGAUCCUCCCGCCUAGGAUAUCUACUCUGUUGAUUGGAAGAGCUCCACUGUUCGGAGCCCAGUCGUUUUGAUACAUAACUUUUUGUGUAGUCUUUUGCUCGUCUAUGGGUAUGGCGGGGCCCUGUCCCGUCGAGUUUCACUACUAUACUCUUAGAGGUCUGUGGACAUUAUGUUGGUUGUAUAUAAAUGUUUUGGAUAAUGGUCUGGACAUGGUUUGUUUGGGAUGUCCGCUUGUACAGGGGAAGCCUUGUCGGCUGUGUACAUCAUUGUGUAUUGUGUAGUGGCAGCCUUGUCGGCUUAAGUAUGUUAUUAUGCUUUGGAUAGUGGCGGCUUUGUCGACUCGCGUAUGUUGUUACGGUUAAAUGGUUAUGACUCCUUAUGAGACAGGUCCUCUUUAUAUAUAUAUGACGUUGGGGUUGUCUUAAUUUGAUUAAAUUCCAUAUUGUCUUAGUUUCAGUUGGUUAUACUUAGCAGGUUUGUAUGUGGGUGUCCAAAACUGGCACUAGUCACGGCCCAUCGGGUUGGGUCGUGAAAGUAAUAGGACC